This 375-nucleotide ribosomal RNA is filed under the name uncultured organism. RNAcentral's name for it is "partial 16S ribosomal RNA". It matches the Rfam family "Bacterial small subunit ribosomal RNA", at positions 527 to 896 of the family's 1533-position model. The record is from RNAcentral.
GUAGGUGGCAAGCGGUUGUCCGGGAAUUAUUGGGGCGUAAAGCGCGCGCAGGCGGUUCUUUAAGUCUGAUGUGAAAGCCCACUGCUCAACCGUGGAGGGUCAUUGGAAACUGGAGAACUUGAGUACAGAAGAGGAGAGCGGAAUUCCACGUGUAGCGGUGAAAUGCGUAGAGAUGUGGAGGAACACCAGUGGCGAAGGCGGCUUUCUGGUCUGUAACUGACGCUGAGGCGCGAAAGCGUGGGGAGCAAACAGGAUUAGAUACCCUGGUAGUCCACGCCGUAAACGAUGAGUGCUAAGUGUUAGGGGGUUUCCGCCCCUUAGUGCUGCAGCUAACGCACUAAGCACUCCGCCUGGGGAGUACGGCCGCAAAGGCUG